CAGGCAGUAUAUCUUGUUCUUUUUACGGCGAGCCUAUUUAACGUACAUUCGGUUUCGGAUUCAGUUGAACUGCUGACGUUAACAAUAUUUCUGCUUAUAUUCUCUUUCUGCUGUGUAGUGUCAUCUGUGAUGUUGCUCGUUGGGCUUUGUGUGGACAACCGGUUAUUUCUUUUGCCGUGGGUUGCCUCUGUGUCUGGUGCCACCAUUCUGGAGUUGACGGUCUCAAUUUACUUUGCUCCCGAUGCGGUAGAAAACCCUAGCGUCGCCAUUUUUUUUGUAGCAGAUAUCAUGUUUUGUGCUCUUAGCGUAAGUUG
Long non-coding RNA from Stegodyphus dumicola, 314 nucleotides. Lineage: Eukaryota; Metazoa; Arthropoda; Arachnida; Araneae; Eresidae. The record is from RefSeq and is a predicted model, not a curated record.